AUGGGCGCGCUCGGCCCCGACAUCCACCAGCUCUACCUGCAGCUGCAGCUCCUCUCCGGCCAGGACGCGAGCAAAGCUCAGCCGCCCUUCUUCCACCCGACUCCGACUCCUCCUCCGCACGCGCCGGGCUCUAGCUCUAGCUACGUCGCCGCCGCCCACGGCCCGGUGGACGACUUCGUCUACGGGUUGGUGCCGGGCGCGGGGAACGGCACGCUGGCGCCGGGGGAGGGCUCGCCGAUGCUUGGCCACAGCGCGUUCCUGGAGAACGACCAGUUCGUGGACGGCUUGGAGGACCCGCUGGCGCUGAUGAGCGGCGACGAGUUGAGCGCCUUCUUGAGCGACGAGGCUGGCGGCGUGCCGCCGGAGUUCCUGCCGGAUUUCCUGGCGAGAUCGCUCGCGGCGUGCCAGACGGCGAUGGCCGACUCGCCGCCCGUGCCCCCCGCGGGCGUGCCGAGCCGGUCGUCCUCUGGUUCGCCCGGUCUGGGCUGCGCCCAGGCGAGACCCACUGACGACUCUCCGGCGGGCGGCCUGGAGGAGCCGCUGACGAGGAUGAGCGGCGACGACGACUUGAGCGCGUUCUUGAGCGACGAGGCGGGCGUCAACUCGCUGUCCAUGCCGCCGGAGUACCCGAUUAGAUCGCUGCUGGUGUACCAACCGGCCAUGGCCGACUCGCCGCCCGCGCCCACCGCGGCCGUGCCGAGCCAGUCGUCCUCCGGUUCGCCGGGUCAGGGAUGCGCCCAGGCCAGAGCCACUGACUCUCCGGUGGGCGGCGCUUAUCAGCCGGUGCCGGACUACUCGCAGGCCGCAUCCCUCGACGCGCCGCAGCAGGAGCCUGACAGCGAGACGGCGGAGGUGGCCCGGAUGGCUCACGUGGCGGCGCGGUGCGGCGACAAGCCGUCCACGGCGUGGUCCGUGGAGGAGGACCAGCUGCUGUUCCGAGGCCUCUCCCGGUUUGCCGGCCAAGACAAUGUCAUCCAGUGCCUCAACAUCGCAUCCGGGCUCGCGGAGAAGACCGCGCUUGAUGUCGCGUAUCGGAUCCGGUGGCUGUCAGGCUUGAAGUCUUUGUCAUUGUGGCAGAAGAAAAAUCUGGGGCAAGAAAAAUCUGCAGUAGCAAAUGUUACAAAGGGAAAGGGAACCAAGGUUGCUAACAAGAAAAACAACAAACACCCCCUGUCCAAAGAGGCUCUAGAUUCCAGGAGCGUGAAAGACAUUAUUCGGGAUAAUAACAGGCUUAUGGAUAAAAUAGAAGAAAUCUUGAGAACAGGAGAGGUGAAUAACUGUCCAGACUACUUUUACUAUGUGAAGAUGAACAUGGAUGCUAUGCAGAACAAAGUAAAGGACCUGGCCUCUGUCAUGUUAGGACUCGCGGUAGGUGAUGAAGAAUGGGAGGACGUCUUGAAGGAUCGCCACGACACACCGCAGGCUGGAGAGGAUGCUGCCACCACCCCGGCGCCAUGA
This 1458-nucleotide ribosomal RNA is filed under the name Triticum aestivum (bread wheat). RNAcentral's name for it is "partial small subunit ribosomal RNA". Lineage: Eukaryota; Viridiplantae; Streptophyta; Magnoliopsida; Poales; Poaceae. The record is from RNAcentral.